This 371-nucleotide ribosomal RNA is filed under the name uncultured organism. RNAcentral describes it as "partial 16S ribosomal RNA". It matches the Rfam family "Bacterial small subunit ribosomal RNA", at positions 527 to 896 of the family's 1533-position model. The record is from RNAcentral.
GUAGGUGGCAAGCGUUGUCCGGAAUUAUUGGGCGUAAAGCGCGCGCAGGGCGGUCCUUUAAGUCUGAUGUGAAAGCCCACGGCUCAACCGUGGAGGGUCAUUGGAAACUGGGGGACUUGAGUACAGAAGAGGAAAGCGGAAUUCCAAGUGUAGCGGUGAAAUGCGUAGAGAUUUGGAGGAACACCAGUGGCGAAGGCGGCUUUCUGGUCUGUAACUGACGCUGAGGCGCGAAAGCGUGGGGAGCAAACAGGAUUAGAUACCCUGGUAGUCCACGCCGUAAACGAUGAGUGCUAAGUGUUAGGGGGUUUCCGCCCCUUAGUGCUGCAGCUAACGCAUUAAGCACUCCGCCUGGGAGUACGGCCGCAAGGCUG